Ochotona curzoniae (black-lipped pika) is the source of this 107-nucleotide small nuclear RNA. The record is from RefSeq and is a predicted model, not a curated record. NCBI's taxonomy places the organism in Eukaryota, Metazoa, Chordata, Mammalia, Lagomorpha, Ochotonidae.
GUGCUUGCUUUUGGCAGCACAUAUACUAAAAUUGGAAAGACACAGAGAAGAUCAGCAUGGCCCCUGUCAAGGAUAACACACAAAUUUGUGAAGUGCUCCAAAUUUGA